UACAGAGGUGGCAAGCGUUGUUCGGAAUUACUGGGCGUAAAGGGCGCGUAGGCGGCUUUUUAAGUCAGGGGUGAAAUCCUGGAGCUCAACUCCAGAACUGCCUUUGAUACUGAGAAGCUUGAGUCCGGGAGAGGUGAGUGGAACUGCGAGUGUAGAGGUGAAAUUCGUAGAUAUUCGCAAGAACACCAGUGGCGAAGGCGGCUCACUGGCCCGGUACUGACGCUGAGGUGCGAAAGCGUGGGGAGCAAACAGG
Molecule: ribosomal RNA, 253 nt
Filed under: uncultured bacterium
Lineage: Bacteria
Description: partial 16S ribosomal RNA
Rfam family: Bacterial small subunit ribosomal RNA
Source: RNAcentral